GGUUCACAUCAUAAUGGUUCUUUUGCCAACAGGAGCUGGUAAUCAGGAUGGCAGUGAGGCAGGCACUUGCUUGCGGAAGAACAGGCCUAGUUUUUUAAGAAGCCACGAAAGUGUCUUUAGAUGAUUAGGAUCUAAGGGGCCAACAGCUUUGCAAUAACAGCAUAAAUAUUGUGGGCUGGAUGGACAGGCACCAAAUGGGGACAUUCCAUCCUGCUGUGUGAUGAGAAAGCUGCCACUUCUGAGGCCUUCCAAAACAAAUAAACACUCCAAAUGCCAGAAGGAAAAGCCCAGGAAAGACCUAUUCCAACUGGAGAUGGUGAAUGUCAUUUCUUCAAGAAGCUGAGAUCCAGCUGGUACUGCCAGGAAUAUGAAGGGAGAAUGAAACAAAACUGCUCCGCUCAGGGAACUUAGAAAUUGAAAAGGCAAGGCACAGGCUGGAAGAAAAUAUUUGAAAAAGAUUUAUGUGACAAAGAACUUCUUUCUGGAUUAUACAAAAUAUUUUUAGAUAUUCUUACAACUCUAAAAUAAGAUAACUCCUUAAAAAUGUGAAUUCUACCAAAGGAGAGAUAAAGAUGACAAAUACAGUCAAAGAUGCUGAAAAUCGCUUAUUUAUUAUUGGGAAGUUACAAGCUACAGCAUAAUGAGAUACCACUACAACCUACUAAACUGACUAAAAUUAAUCAGACUAACCAGGUGUUGGCAAGAAACAGGG
Molecule: non-coding RNA, 712 nt
Filed under: Pongo abelii (Sumatran orangutan)
Lineage: Eukaryota; Metazoa; Chordata; Mammalia; Primates; Hominidae
Source: RNAcentral